Molecule: ribosomal RNA, 169 nt
Filed under: Artocarpus lanceifolius
Lineage: Eukaryota; Viridiplantae; Streptophyta; Magnoliopsida; Rosales; Moraceae
Also listed under: 2 other names
Description: 5.8S ribosomal RNA
Rfam family: 5.8S ribosomal RNA
About the family: 5.8S ribosomal RNA (5.8S rRNA) is a component of the large subunit of the eukaryotic ribosome.
Source: RNAcentral
UAAAAACGACUCUCGGCAACGGAUAUCUCGGCUCUCGCAUCGAUGAAGAACGUAGCGAAAUGCGAUACUUGGUGUGAAUUGCAGAAUCCCGUGAACCAUCGAGUCUUUGAACGCAAGUUGCGCCCGAAGCCAUCCGGCCGAGGGCACGUCUGCCUGGGCGUCACACACC